AGACAGACUCAUACUUGCCAUGGCGAUGUGUAUCCCUCCUCUCAAAGGAUGGAGCAGCAAGCACCUUGUAGUUGCGGCCAUGAUAGGAACCCUGGUCGUGGUCGCCAUCGCCGCAGUCAUCAUCGUCGACCUCACUCCGCCUCAAGUCUUCUUCUCCAUCGAAGAUGCAAGCCUCCAAUUCUACAACUUCACUCUCUCUGCCAACAACACCAGCCGGCGCAUGGAGGUGCAUUAUACCACCCUCAACACUGAGAUAUGGAUAACCCCGUCUGAUUGGUAUUCAGCCGAGUUGAGCAUGAGCGGGUUCACGCAGCAGCCACCGGACAACGUGACCAAGUUCGCCGGGUGGGCCGAGUCGUAUCAGCUGGAUAGCAUGAUGGCGUCGGCGCAGGGCAGCGGCGCGGGGAAUUGGCCAAACUGCACCGUGGUGGUGAUAGCCAAGGUGUUGUUCAAGGUCGGGCUGGCACGCACACGGCCGUACCACAUCAGGGUGUCCUGCUUCCCCGUCAACUUCCGCGAUAAGACUCGGUACGCCAAUUGUACCUACUGAUCUCUCCAGUUUAGGAAGGGGAGAAGAGCCGAGGCUUUCUAGGGAGGUUGCCGGAGGAGGAGCUGAGGAAGGAUGGGGCGCGGCAAGAUCGAAAUCAAGCGGAUCGAGAACUCUACCAACCGCCAAGUGACCUUCUCCAAGCGCCGCAACGGGAUCCUCAAGAAGGCGCGGGAGAUCAGCGUGCUCUGCGAUGCCAAGGUCGGCAUCGUCAUCUUCUUCGCGAUUUGCUGGGCGCUCGAUCUGCCCCGCCCUCCGCCCUCCGCCCUCCCAGCCUUGCGUCGCCCCUGUCACCCCUCCCCCGUGAACUUCCUCAAUACGACUCGGUACGCCUCCCAAGCAAGUAGCUGAAGCAAACAGGCUGAAAGAAAGGCUUACCUUAAAUUCUGUCAGUCUCUGUAUGGCUGUUGUCUGGAGGGCUCCAGUACACCUUAGAUCUGCUGUUGUUGGUGUUGUUAAUGGACUCCUGAUAUCUGCUUCCGUUCAUGUUCCAGUUCCAUUUGGUCUCGAAAUUAAAGAUAUAUUCUUCAUCAUAUCGGUAAUGUCGCGCGGUUCUUGGUUUCAAGUACUGCCUGCAUUUGUUUUUUCUUUUCCUUGUCAUUUGGUCCGUCAGAACUAAGUUUGUUGAAUUCCUUCUGAGUAAGCUUGAGACGCUGGUCGUGCUUGUUUGUUGGUGUGCCUACGUGCCGCAUAGUUUGUCGUAGCAAAUACUUCCGGUUCCAUAUCGCCUGUGU
Molecule: long non-coding RNA, 1281 nt
Filed under: Setaria viridis
Lineage: Eukaryota; Viridiplantae; Streptophyta; Magnoliopsida; Poales; Poaceae
Description: long non-coding RNA (SVIR_LNC010011)
Source: RNAcentral